GCCCCCAAUAAUUUGCUAAUAAUCAUUCUUUUUUCAAAAUCAUGCAGACCUUUAUAAUUUAAUCUGUGACAAACUGCAAAGAAUGAAGGUAUUACCCACACUUUCCUGCAACUUAUUCAAUAUAUAGUUAAUUAAAUACGCCUUCGCCCAUUUAGUACCACUAAAUUGUAAAUUUUGACAUACUAAAACGCUGUUUUCUGACUAUCAGAAUUCUGUCAAAUCUUCCCCCAAAGUCCAGGAAAUGGCAUUUCAGAGACUCUAAAUUUAAAAAUUUCCUCGGGUCUUCG
This is a non-coding RNA of Paramuricea clavata, 287 nucleotides long. The record is from the annotation of a GenBank genome assembly. Lineage: Eukaryota; Metazoa; Cnidaria; Anthozoa; Malacalcyonacea; Plexauridae.